GACCCGUCUUGAAACACGGACCAAGGAGUCUAGCAUGUGUGCGAGUCAUUGAGUUGUUUUUAUAACACAAAACUGAAAGGCGUAACGAAAGUGAAGGUGAACGCUUGCCGUUCGCUCAGGGAGGAUGGAGCAUCGGUCUAUAUCGAUCUCUCGCACUCCCGAGGCGUCUCGUUUCCAAUCCGUGAAUGUAGGCGCGCUCUGAGCACAGAUGCUGGGACCCGAAAGAUGGUGAACUAUGCCUGGUCAGGUCGAAGUCAGGGGAAACCCUGAUGGAGGACCGUAGCGAUUCUGACGUGCAAAUCGAUCGUCGGAACUGGGGAUAGGGGCGAA
RNAcentral lists this ribosomal RNA (330 nucleotides) under Danaus affinis (black and white tiger). RNAcentral describes it as "eukaryotic LSU rRNA". It matches the Rfam family "Eukaryotic large subunit ribosomal RNA", at positions 646 to 927 of the family's 3401-position model. Lineage: Eukaryota; Metazoa; Arthropoda; Insecta; Lepidoptera; Nymphalidae. The record is from RNAcentral.